GACGAACGCUGGCGGCGCGCUUAACACAUGCAAGUCGAACGGAAAGGCCUGCUUUCCCUUGUGGAUUGCGGGUACUCGAGUGGCGAACGGGUGAGUAACACGUGAGUGAUCUGCCCCCAACUUGGGUAUAAGCCUGGGAAACUGGGUCUAAUUCCCGAUAGGACUGCAGGGUGGUGCCUGUGGUGGAAAACGAUUUUCUAGUGGUUGGGGAUGAGCUCGCGGCCUAUCAGCUUGUUGGUGGGGUAAUGGCCUACCAAGGCGGCGACGGGUAGCCGGCCUGGGAGGGUGGACGGGCGCAGUGGGACUGAGAUACGGCCAAGACUCCUACGGGAGGCAGCAGUGGGGAAUAUUGCACAAUGGGCGGAAGCCUGAUGCAGCGACGCCGCGUGGGGGAUGACGGCCUUCGGGUUGUAAACUCCUUUCGACCGCGAGGAAGCCACCUGGUUGGAAGGGUGGUGACGGUAGUGGUAGAAGAAGCACCGGCUAACUACGUG
This 494-nucleotide ribosomal RNA is filed under the name uncultured bacterium. RNAcentral describes it as "partial 16S ribosomal RNA". It matches the Rfam family "Bacterial small subunit ribosomal RNA", at positions 28 to 507 of the family's 1533-position model. The record is from RNAcentral.